Molecule: long non-coding RNA, 1359 nt
Filed under: Betta splendens (Siamese fighting fish)
Lineage: Eukaryota; Metazoa; Chordata; Actinopteri; Anabantiformes; Osphronemidae
Description: lncRNA (ENSBSLG00000008779.1)
Source: RNAcentral
AUGCCAUGCUUCAGUACAUCUCCGUCUGUCUGUUCUGCCUCUACCUCCUCCUUCUUAUCUGCCUCUACCUCCUCCUCCUCCUCAGGCUGUUCUGUCUCUACCGCCUCCUCCUCCCACGGCUGUUCUGUCUCUUCCUCAUUCACCUCCGUCUGUUCUGUCUCUUCCUUAUUCACCUCCGUCUGUUCUGUCUCUACGGCCUCCUCCUCCGUCUGUUCUGUCUCUAUCACCUCCUCCUCCGUCUGUUCUGUCUCUUCCUUAUUCACCUCCGUCUGUUCUGUCUCUAUCGCCUCCUCCUCCGUCUGUUCUGUCUCUAUCGCCUCCUCCUCCGUCUGUUCUGUCUCUACCGCCUCCUCCUCCGUCUGUUCUGUCUUUACCUCAUCCUCCUCUGUCUGUUCUGCCUUUAGCACUUCCUCCUCUGUUUGUUCUAUCUCUACCUCCUUAUCCUCCUCUGUUUGUUCUGUGCACUUUUCAGGUUCAGUGUUUAGAAUCACAUUCUGGGUUGAUUCAGUACCUUCCUUGUCCUCCUCUAGCGCCUCCUCCUCCCUCUGUUCUGUCUCUAGCGCCUCCUCCUCCCUCUGUUCUGUCUCUAGAGCCUCCUCCUCCGUCUGUUCUGUCUUUAGCGCCUCCUCCUCCGUCUGUUCUGUCUCUACUGCCUCCUCCUCCCUCUGUUCUGUCUCUUGGGCCUCCUCCUCCCUCUGUUCUGUCUCUAGCGCCUCCUCCUCCCUCUGUUCUGUCUCUAGCGCCUCCUCCUCCGUCUGUUCUGUCUUUAGUGCCUCCUCCUCCGUCUGUUCUGUCUCUACUGCCUUCUCCUCCGUCUGUUCUGUCUCUUCGGCCUCCUCCUCCGUCUGUUCUGUCUCUAGCACCUCCUCCUCCGUCUGUUCUGUCUCUAGCACCUCCUCCUCCGUCUGUUCUGUCUCUACGGCCUGCUCCUCCGUUUGUUCUGUCUCUACGGCCUGCUCCUCCGUCUGUUCUGUCUCUACGGCCUGCUCCUCCGUCUGUUCUGUCUCUACGGCCUGCUCCUCCAUUUGUUCUGUCUCUACCUCCUCAAUCUGUUCUGUCUCUACCUCCUCAAUCUGUUCUGUCUCUACCUCCUCCAUCUGUUCUGUCUCUACCUCCUCCAUCUGUUCUGUCUCUACCUCCUCCAUCUGUUCUGUCUCUACCUCCUCCAUCUGUUCUGUCUCUACCUCAUCCUCCUCUGUCUGUUCUGUCUUUAGCACCUCCUCCUCGGUUUGUUCUAUCUCUACCUCCUUAUCCUCCUCUGUUUGUUCUGUGCACUUUUCAGGUUCAGUGUUUAGAAUCACAUUCUGGGUUGAUUCAGUACCUUCCUUGUCCUCCUGUGAUAAUUGUUGCUCCAAAUGA